AUUAGAAUGUCGAGUCCCAAAUAGGACGAAAUGCACAUCCUGAAU
This 45-nucleotide non-coding RNA is filed under the name Trichobilharzia regenti. The record is from RNAcentral. Lineage: Eukaryota; Metazoa; Platyhelminthes; Trematoda; Strigeidida; Schistosomatidae.